AAUUUGGCUCCCCCCAGGAGGCGGAGCUUGCCGGGCUCUUCUCUCCUCCGUCCUCCCAGCGCCCGGAGUGCGGCGCGGGAACUGACGUUACCGAUUCGGAUCCCGAUCCCGAAAAGCGGUAGAAACAAACUUCUUAACACCGAUUCGUAGAUGUUGAAAAGGGCAUUCUUCUUUAUUCAGCGCACUGGACGUUCGGAGGAUAGCCCCUCUAAUCGAACGCGCCAAAUGGCAGAUGGACAGGACUUUUUAUUACACGAGAAUUCGCCUUGAGGAGCAAUAACCGGAGGGUUCCGCUGCCGCCCCUCGUGGGGAUUGGCACCAGGGGCAUCUGUGCCCCGCACCCGUAUCGCCCGCUGACCCCCGGAGGGCCGCUCCAGGAGACGGCGGGUUUGGAAUAUGGUUUGUACUCGCUCUCCUGUGGGAGCAGUGGGAGACGUCGUCUGUGGUCGACUGUGGUGGAGCUGCAUCGGUUUUCCUGGAUGACUUGCUGUGUGUUGUGGUGGUGGCUUUUCUUUCUGUCCACCUACGUAAGCCAAUUUCACAUUUUUUCCAAGCAUUCUUGCUGCCUCUUCUGCCCUGUGCACCCACAGAAACCUGAGUUGGUAGGUGCCUCAGAGGGGUCUUAAAGAGCUUGAUUCCUGUGCUGCACAGCCCUGGGUGCAAGCUCCCCGCUCUCCACCCUGUAAUGAGUGAUUUAACUGCUCUGCUUUUCCCCCCAAAUCUGGGUGGAUUGAGGACAAGUAUCUUAAGUGGUGUUUCUCAACUUAAUCAGGGGCAUCUUGUUUGUUCCUACCCCCCUGUACUUUUUUAAGAGAUGCACCAUAUUAGUCUUGUUUUAAGAGCAUUAACUGCCUUUUAAAUGUGUGUUUUACUUGUUUUGUGUGUAGCACAUGCGCACACACCCCUUUAUCUCCACACAUUGAUCUUGGCUGUUGGCAAAACCCACUUCAUAUCCCAAUGCCUUCAAUAAAGGACUCUGCAGCAAUGCUGGAAUUGGUGUG
Molecule: long non-coding RNA, 1001 nt
Filed under: Lepidothrix coronata (blue-crowned manakin)
Lineage: Eukaryota; Metazoa; Chordata; Aves; Passeriformes; Pipridae
Description: lncRNA (ENSLCOG00000007140.1)
Source: RNAcentral